This 347-nucleotide ribosomal RNA is filed under the name uncultured bacterium. Its description in RNAcentral is "bacterial SSU rRNA". It matches the Rfam family "Bacterial small subunit ribosomal RNA", at positions 28 to 375 of the family's 1533-position model. The record is from RNAcentral.
GACGAACGCUGGCGGCGUGCUUAACACAUGCAAGUCGAGCGGUAAGGCCCUUUCGGGGGUACACGAGCGGCGAACGGGUGAGUAACACGUGGGUGACCUGCCCUCAGCUCUGGGAUAAGCCUGGGAAACCGGGUCUAAUACUGGAUAUGACUCCAUGACGCAUGUUGUGGGGUGGAAAGCCUUGUGCGGCUGAGGAUGGGCCCGCGGCCUAUCAGCUUGUUGGUGGGGUGANGGCCUACCAAGGCGACGACGGGUAGCCGGCCUGAGAGGGCGACCGGCCACACUGGGGACUGAGACACGGCCCAGACUCCUACGGGAGGCAGCAGUGGGGAAUCUUGCGCAAUGGG